GUCGAUUCUGCCGGAGGUUACUGCUAUCGAGGUUCGACUAAGCCAUGCGAGUCGAAUGUAGCAAUACAUGGCGUACUGCUCAGUAACACGUGGACAACCUACCCUUGAGACGGGAAUAAACCCGGGAAACUGGGUAUAAUACCCGAUAGAUCUCGACUGCUGGAAUGCAUCGAGAUCCAAAGCUCCGGCGCUCAAGGAUGGAUCUGCGGCCUAUCAGGUAGUAGUGGGUGUAGCGUACCUACUAGCCUACGACGGGUACGGGUUGUGAGAGCAAGAGCCCGGAGAUGGAUUCCGAGACACGAAUCCAGGCCCUACGGGGUGCAGCAGGCGCGAAAACUUUACAAUGCUGGAAACAGCGAUAAGGGGACCUCGAGUGCCAGGUUACAAAUCUGGCUGUCGUGAUGCCUAAAAAGCAUUGCAUAGCAAGGGCCGGGCAAGACCGGUGCCAGCCGCCGCGGUAACACCGGCGGCUCGAGUGGUAACCGUUAUUAUUGGGUCUAAAGGGUCUGUAGCCGGCCAGAUAAGUCUCUUGAGAAAUCCAGCAGCUCAACUGUUGGGCUUUCAGGAGAUACUGUCUGGCUCGAGGCCGGGAGAGGUGAGAGGUACUUCAGGGGUAGGGGUGAAAUCUUGUAAUCCUUGAAGGACCACCAGUGGCGAAGGCGUCUCACCAGAACGGACCUGACGGCAAGGGACGAAAGCUAGGGGCACGAACCGGAUUAGAUACCCGGGUAGUCCUAGCCGUAAACGAUACUCGCUAGGUGUCGGCCACGGUGCGACCGUUGUCGGUGCCGUAGGGAAGCCGUGAAGCGAGCCACCUGGGAAGUACGGCCGCAAGGCUGAAACUUAAAGGAAUUGGCGGGGGAGCACCACAAC
Molecule: ribosomal RNA, 873 nt
Filed under: uncultured archaeon
Lineage: Archaea
Description: bacterial SSU rRNA
Rfam family: Archaeal small subunit ribosomal RNA
Source: RNAcentral